RNAcentral lists this non-coding RNA (255 nucleotides) under Chloroflexota bacterium. Its description in RNAcentral is "Chloroflexi bacterium T-box sequence". It matches the Rfam family "T-box leader". From Rfam's summary of the family: Uncharged tRNA acts as the effector for transcription antitermination of genes in the T-box leader family. Lineage: Bacteria; Bacillati; Chloroflexota. The record is from RNAcentral.
ACAAAGGCUUUGAAAGAGGAAAGUAGCUGGUUCGAAACCGACAGGGAGGCGCCGGGCACAGACUGAGACCCCGCCAGGCAGAAAUCCAGUGAAGUUCCCUCCCGAGCUGUCCGGGUGAAUGGAUUGCCAACUAGUAGCCAGGAACGCUACCCAGGCGUUACCCAGGGGACCGAUUGCCAAAUGGCCGUCGGGUGGAGCGGGUCGCAAUUGCGACCAACAAGGGUGGUACCGCGGGAGAUCCAUCCCGUCCCUUGA